Molecule: ribosomal RNA, 599 nt
Filed under: uncultured bacterium
Lineage: Bacteria
Description: bacterial SSU rRNA
Rfam family: Bacterial small subunit ribosomal RNA
Source: RNAcentral
CCGAGUGCUUGCACUCAAUUGGAAAGAGGAGUGGCGGACGGGUGAGUAACACGUGGGUAACCUACCCAUCAGAGGGGGAUAACACUUGGAAACAGGUGCUAAUACCGCAUAACAGUUUAUGCCGCAUGGCAUAAGAGUGAAAGGCGCUUUCGGGUGUCGCUGAUGGAUGGACCCGCGGUGCAUUAGCUAGUUGGUGAGGUAACGGCUCACCAAGGCCACGAUGCAUAGCCGACCUGAGAGGGUGAUCGGCCACACUGGGACUGAGACACGGCCCAGACUCCUACGGGAGGCAGCAGUAGGGAAUCUUCGGCAAUGGACGAAAGUCUGACCGAGCAACGCCGCGUGAGUGAAGAAGGUUUUCGGAUCGUAAAACUCUGUUGUUAGAGAAGAACAAGGACGUUAGUAACUGAACGUCCCCUGACGGUAUCUAACCAGAAAGCCACGGCUAACUACGUGCCAGCAGCCGCGGUAAUACGUAGGUGGCAAGCGUUGUCCGGAUUUAUUGGGCGUAAAGCGAGCGCAGGCGGUUUCUUAAGUCUGAUGUGAAAGCCCCCGGCUCAACCGGGGAGGGUCAUUGGAAACUGGGAGACUUGAGUGCA